Molecule: ribosomal RNA, 718 nt
Filed under: uncultured bacterium
Lineage: Bacteria
Description: bacterial SSU rRNA
Rfam family: Bacterial small subunit ribosomal RNA
Source: RNAcentral
CGUGAAAUCUCACGGCUUAACUGUGAGCGUGCGGGCGAUACGAGCAGACUUGAGUACUGCAGGGGAGACUGGAAUUCCUGGUGUAGCGGUGGAAUGCGCAGAUAUCAGGAGGAACACCGGUGGCGAAGGCGGGUCUCUGGGCAGUAACUGACGCUGAGGAGCGAAAGCGUGGGGAGCGAACAGGAUUAGAUACCCUGGUAGUCCACGCCGUAAACGGUGGGUACUAGGUGUGGGUUUCCUUCCUUGGGAUCCGUGCCGUAGCUAACGCAUUAAGUACCCCGCCUGGGGAGUACGGCCGCAAGGCUAAAACUCAAAGAAAUUGACGGGGGCCCGCACAAGCGGCGGAGCAUGUGGAUUAAUUCGAUGCAACGCGAAGAACCUUACCUGGGUUUGACAUGCACAGGACGCCGGCAGAGAUGUCGGUUCCCUUGUGGCCUGUGUGCAGGUGGUGCAUGGCUGUCGUCAGCUCGUGUCGUGAGAUGUUGGGUUAAGUCCCGCAACGAGCGCAACCCUUGUCUCAUGUUGCCAGCGGGUAAUGCCGGGGACUCGUGAGAGACUGCCGGGGUCAACUCGGAGGAAGGUGGGGAUGACGUCAAGUCAUCAUGCCCCUUAUGUCCAGGGCUUCACACAUGCUACAAUGGCCGGUACAAAGGGCUGCGAUGCCGCGAGGUUAAGCGAAUCCUUUUAAAGCCGGUCUCAGUUCGGAUCGGGGUCUGCA